GUGUGUGUGUGCGCGCGAGAAGGAGAUGGAUGGAAAAAAAAACAUGGGUUCAGAUUCAAUUCAAAUGCCCCAAUUCAGACACAAAAUUCAAACUAGGCCUUUUUUUUUUU
This is a long non-coding RNA of Salarias fasciatus (jewelled blenny), 110 nucleotides long. RefSeq lists it as uncharacterized. The record is from RefSeq and is a predicted model, not a curated record. Lineage: Eukaryota; Metazoa; Chordata; Actinopteri; Blenniiformes; Blenniidae. The transcript has 3 exons.